GAUGAACGCUGGCGGCGUGCCUAAUACAUGCAAGUCGAGCGAACAGACGAGGAGCUUGCUCCUCUGAUGUUAGCGGCGGACGGGUGAGUAACACGUGGAUAACCUACCUAUAAGACUGGGAUAACUUCGGGAAACCGGAGCUACUACCGGAUAACAUGUUGAACCGCAUGGUUCAACAGUGAAAGACGGUCUUGCUGUCACUUAUAGAUGGAUCCGCGCCGCAUUAGCUAGUUGGUAAGGUAACGGCUUACCAAGGCAACGAUGCGUAGCCGACCUGAGAGGGUGAUCGGCCACACUGGAACUGAGACACGGUCCAGACUCCUACGGGAGGCAGCAGUAGGGAAUCUUCCGCAAUGGGCGAAAGCCGGACGGAGCAACGCCGCGUGAGUGAAGAAGGUCUUCGGAUCGUAAAACUCUGUUAUUAGGGAAGAACAAAUGUGUAAGUAACUAUGCACGUCUUGACGGUACCUAAUCAGAAAGCCACGGCUAACUACGUG
Molecule: ribosomal RNA, 497 nt
Filed under: uncultured bacterium
Lineage: Bacteria
Description: partial 16S ribosomal RNA
Rfam family: Bacterial small subunit ribosomal RNA
Source: RNAcentral